Molecule: ribosomal RNA, 1410 nt
Filed under: Enterococcus mundtii
Lineage: Bacteria; Bacillati; Bacillota; Bacilli; Lactobacillales; Enterococcaceae
Description: bacterial SSU rRNA
Rfam family: Bacterial small subunit ribosomal RNA
Source: RNAcentral
CUUUUCCCACCGGAGCUUGCUCCACCGGGAAAAGAGGAGUGGCGAACGGGUGAGUAACACGUGGGUAACCUGCCCAUCAGAAGGGGAUAACACUUGGAAACAGGUGCUAAUACCGUAUAACAAUCGAAACCGCAUGGUUUCGUUUUGAAAGGCGCUUUACGGUGCCGCUGAUGGAUGGACCCGCGGUGCAUUAGCUAGUUGGUGAGGUAACGGCUCACCAAGGCCACGAUGCAUAGCCGACCUGAGAGGGUGAUCGGCCACAUUGGGACUGAGACACGGCCCAAACUCCUACGGGAGGCAGCAGUAGGGAAUCUUCGGCAAUGGACGAAAGUCUGACCGAGCAACGCCGCGUGAGUGAAGAAGGUUUUCGGAUCGUAAAACUCUGUUGUUAGAGAAGAACAAGGGUGAGAGUAACUGUUCACCCCUUGACGGUAUCUAACCAGAAAGCCACGGCUAACUACGUGCCAGCAGCCGCGGUAAUACGUAGGUGGCAAGCGUUGUCCGGAUUUAUUGGGCGUAAAGCGAGCGCAGGCGGUUUCUUAAGUCUGAUGUGAAAGCCCCCGGCUCAACCGGGGAGGGUCAUUGGAAACUGGGAGACUUGAGUGCAGAAGAGGAGAGUGGAAUUCCAUGUGUAGCGGUGAAAUGCGUAGAUAUAUGGAGGAACACCAGUGGCGAAGGCGGCUCUCUGGUCUGUAACUGACGCUGAGGCUCGAAAGCGUGGGGAGCAAACAGGAUUAGAUACCCUGGUAGUCCACGCCGUAAACGAUGAGUGCUAAGUGUUGGAGGGUUUCCGCCCUUCAGUGCUGCAGCUAACGCAUUAAGCACUCCGCCUGGGGAGUACGACCGCAAGGUUGAAACUCAAAGGAAUUGACGGGGGCCCGCACAAGCGGUGGAGCAUGUGGUUUAAUUCGAAGCAACGCGAAGAACCUUACCAGGUCUUGACAUCCUUUGACCACUCUAGAGAUAGAGCUUCCCCUUCGGGGGCAAAGUGACAGGUGGUGCAUGGUUGUCGUCAGCUCGUGUCGUGAGAUGUUGGGUUAAGUCCCGCAACGAGCGCAACCCUUAUUGUUAGUUGCCAUCAUUUAGUUGGGCACUCUAGCAAGACUGCCGGUGACAAACCGGAGGAAGGUGGGGAUGACGUCAAAUCAUCAUGCCCCUUAUGACCUGGGCUACACACGUGCUACAAUGGGAAGUACAACGAGUCGCGAAGUCGCGAGGCUAAGCUAAUCUCUUAAAGCUUCUCUCAGUUCGGAUUGUAGGCUGCAACUCGCCUACAUGAUAGCCGGAAUCGCUAGUAAUCGCGGAUCAGCACGCCGCGGUGAAUACGUUCCCGGGCCUUGUACACACCGCCCGUCACACCACGAGAGUUUGUAACACCCGAAGUCGGUGAGGUAACCUUUUGGAGCCAGC